GACGAACCGUGCGAACGUUGUUCGGAAUCACUGGGCAUAAAGGGCGCGUAGGCGGCUUUUCAAGUCAGGGGUGAAAUCCGGCAGCUCAACUGUCGAAGUGCCCUUGAUACUGAUGAGCUCGAGGGAGGUAGGGGUGUGUGGAACUUCCGGUGGAGCGGUGAAAUGCGUUGAUAUCGGAAGGAACGCCGGUGGCGAAAGCGACGCACUGGACCUCUUCCGACGCUGAGGCGCGAAAGCUAGGGGAGCAAACGGG
Molecule: ribosomal RNA, 253 nt
Filed under: uncultured bacterium
Lineage: Bacteria
Description: partial 16S ribosomal RNA
Rfam family: Bacterial small subunit ribosomal RNA
Source: RNAcentral